Molecule: long non-coding RNA, 400 nt
Filed under: Homo sapiens (human)
Lineage: Eukaryota; Metazoa; Chordata; Mammalia; Primates; Hominidae
Description: non-protein coding lnc-MGME1-3:1
Source: RNAcentral
AUCAUUUGCUUAUCUCUCAUGAUUCUGUGGACUAACUGGGCUCAGCUCGGCAGUACUUUUGUUCUAUGCAGAUUUUCUCUGCAGCUACAGUCCACUGGCGCUUGGCCAGGCUGGAACGGCCGGGAUGCCUCACUUACAUGUUUGGUGUCCUGGCAGGGAUGGCUGGGGGGAUGGGCUCAGUGGGGGUGUUUGGUCAACUGGGCUCCCCUUCCAGGUAGUCUCAGCACCUUUCAGGCUAGAGUGGACAUCAGUUGACUUUGCCUGCCAUGGUAGAGACUUUCAGUCAUCCACCAUAAUCCAUCCCCAUUCUGCUGCACAGAAGUAUUGUGGCUGAGACACCUGCUUUUCUCCACCCCUCUAGUUAAUGUGACUAAAUUCUCCCUAUGGAAUGGGAAUGGAA